This 514-nucleotide ribosomal RNA is filed under the name uncultured bacterium. RNAcentral's name for it is "bacterial SSU rRNA". It matches the Rfam family "Bacterial small subunit ribosomal RNA", at positions 8 to 518 of the family's 1533-position model. The record is from RNAcentral.
AGGGUUCGAUUCUGGCUCAGGAUGAACGCUAGCUACAGGCUUAACACAUGCAAGUCGAGGGGUAGCAGGGUAGCAAUACCGCUGACGACCGGCGCACGGGUGAGUAACACGUAUCCAACCUUCCCAUAACUCAGGGAUAGCCUUUCGAAAGAAAGAUUAAUACCUGAUAGUACUUUUUCAAGGCAUCUUGAGAAAGUUAAAGAUUUAUUGGUUAUGGAUGGGGAUGCGUUCCAUUAGAUAGUUGGUGAGGUAACGGCUCACCAAGUCUUCGAUGGAUAGGGGUUCUGAGAGGAAGGUCCCCCACAUUGGUACUGAGACACGGACCAAACUCCUACGGGAGGCAGCAGUGAGGAAUAUUGGUCAAUGGGCGAGAGCCUGAACCAGCCAAGUAGCGUGAAGGAAUGAAGGUCCUAUGGAUUGUAAACUUCUUUUAUAGUAGAAUAAAGUGAUCCACGUGUGGAUUUUUGUAUGUAUACUAUGAAUAAGGAUCGGCUAACUCCGUGCCAGCCGCCGC